Molecule: transfer RNA, 92 nt
Filed under: Felis catus (domestic cat)
Lineage: Eukaryota; Metazoa; Chordata; Mammalia; Carnivora; Felidae
Rfam family: tRNA
About the family: Transfer RNA (tRNA) molecules are approximately 80 nucleotides in length. Their secondary structure includes four short double-helical elements and three loops (D, anti-codon, and T loops). Further hydrogen bonds mediate the characteristic L-shaped molecular structure. tRNAs have two regions of fundamental functional importance: the anti-codon, which is responsible for specific mRNA codon recognition, and the 3' end, to which the tRNAs corresponding amino acid is attached (by aminoacyl-tRNA synthetases). tRNAs cope with the degeneracy of the genetic code in two manners: having more than one tRNA (with a specific anti-codon) for a particular amino acid; and 'wobble' base-pairing, i.e. permitting non-standard base-pairing at the 3rd anti-codon position.
Source: Rfam by way of RNAcentral
GCCUGGGUGGCUCAGUCGGUUGAGCAUCUGGCUCUUGAUUUAGGCUCAGGUCAUGAUCUCACAGUUCGUGGGAUCGAGCCCCACGUCAGGCU